UUCUCUCUCCUAGGGCACCAAAUCUCAACCUGGAUUUCACUGUUGGGGUUUGUUAGGUUUCACUUUGUUAAUAAGUCCUAGUUAUUAGUUAUUAGGGACAUGCAGUUAGUAUUUGACUCAUUCCUGCAAUCAUGUACCACGCAUUUAGAGUUAUGCUGUGUGUGGGUUGUUGUUUUAUUAUUCAGUUUCUUUUGUAAGGUUAUAUAAGCCAGUACUUGUUAAUUAUGAAUAUUGAGGUAUUCACACAAGCUUUAUUGUUCUGUUCUUGAGUUUUUGGGUUCAACAUUCACUCUCCUCCACAACCAUGAUCGACGAUCCUUCCGCUCCGACGACCCAAGACCCGAAUCCCCAACCCGAUAACCUGAUUCCCCAAUCCAUUGUGCAAGUGGAUGCACAAGGUAAGCACAAUUUACUCAUACAUGGUUUUUGAACGCAAUGCUAUGUUCUCUUAAUUUCUCCCUCAGGAUGUCUAUUCAGCUGGUGAUAGCUGAAAUGCCUGUGCUGCCAUCUCUAAUAUUCUUUAACGUGUGGUAACAAAUAUCAAUUAUUAUUGUCAACUUGUCAUAUACAUAUUUUUUGUACGUAUAGUUUGGGGAAUGGUUAUUUGGUGUUACUGUUAUGUCAAACAUGCUCUGAUGCUUUUGCGAGAUAUUUGGUUUUGUUUAUGUAGGACUUAUUCGUUAUCCCUCUCCAUGUCCUACAAUGGUUCGACCUGGUUUUCCCUCACGGCCACCUAGAGGAAUUGGUAUGCUUCCAUCUAUACAACGCCCUCCUAUGCUGGGAAUUCCUGGGGUUCGCCCCAUUAUGCCUCCUGUUGUUAGGCCAGUUGUUCCUAGUGUUACUCCAGCUGAGAAACCACAAACAACUGUCUUUGUCGGCAAGAUAGCCCCAACAGUAAACAAUGAUUUCAUUUUAUAUCUCCUUCAGGUAUAUCAUCAAACUCUGUGAUCUCUGUUCUUUCAUAUCAAACCUUAUUCCUUUGGUGUAUGGUUUUACGUUUCUAAGCACUAAUGGUUUUACAUUUUAUUAAGUUAUGUGGACCUGUCAAGCUUUGGAAGCGUGCUCAAGAUCCCACAGAUGGGACUCCGAAAGGCUUUGGGUUUUGUGAAUUUGAAUCUGCUGAAGGGGUUCUUCGUGCAUUACGCCUUCUGAGUAAAUUCAACAUUGAUGGGAAGGAGCUGGUGGUAUAUCAUAAUUCAUACUACAGCUAUCUUUUCGUUGUUAUUGCCAUAUAACUUUUGAAACCAUAUCCUGCUUAUAUAUAUUAUAUUUUAUAAAAAUUUCGGUUACUAAUUCUCUCUAUAUUGAAAUUUUUGUACAACUUCAAACAGUUAAUUGUUAAACAAGCAACACGAGAGUAUCUGGAGCGGUUUGUAGAAAAGAAAAUUGAAAACACAAAGAAGCUAAAAGACAGUCAAGCUGAGGGAGAUGAGAAAGAGGGUCAGAGUACCAUUGAUAAGACUGUAGUUCCAAAUUCUGUUGUGGAUUCGAAGGAGGAGGACAAUAAUUCAGGGAACAAAGAGAGCAUCAGUAAAAACUUUGGGAUCGUGACGGAUGAAGACAAGGAAGCUGACAGGGUGGCUUUGGAGAAGCUUACAAGCUUGAUAGAGGAGAGAUUAAAAACGAAUCCUCUGCCUCCACCACCGCCACUUGCUCCUGGGAAUUCCAUCUCAGAGCCUCCGGCUAACUCAAGGGACGGAGACCCUAAUGUGGAUAUAGCAAGAAAUGGUAUAGUUUCAAACUUUCUAUUGCUAUCAUACUGGAGAUUGUUAGUUUGUUGUGUGUGCGUCAAUUUCUUGUUUCUUUUGUACUAUUGCCUUGGGCUUGUGUUAGUGUGUUGUGUGUGCAUCCUUUAAGCUCUUUGAGGCCAUACAUCGAUCCUAAAGGCCUAACUUUUCUUUAUUUAAAAUCUUUAAUAGAAUAUGUUUAUUUACUUGGAAUAAACAGAUACCAUUUCUAGAGAGGCCGCGAUUUGCUUACCUAUUUUGGUACCAAAGUUUGAGAUGCAUUCUUGAGUAUGUUGUGUUAAUAAACGCGUCAAAGAUAUCGGGUAUUAGAGUUUGACUCUUCAUAUUCAUGUUUAUGUUCUAAAACAAGGUCGCGCUACUUGCCUUGACGAAGCCUAGGCCCUCCAAACCAACCAUCAGUCCUAGUAGGGCCUAGCGAGUUUCGACCACUGAUCAGAGUUCUAAAACAAGACCGCCUAACUCCCCUAAGCGGUUUUUAGGGGCUCCAAGGCAACCAUCCGCCCUAAUAGCGCUUAGUGAGUUUUUGAAUAGUAUGGGUUUGUGUAAGAAUUAUUAACAUACAUCUUGCUCUAAACCACACACAAACCCAAUAGCCACCAGGUCACCAUGUCAAGCCCACCUUCUACAAAAGCAUGUGAGCCCAGCCCACGACUACAUAAGGUCAGGGAAGCUGGGCCAAACCGACUAACAAAGUAAUAAGUAGUGCAUACAAGAGGAGUAACAGAAGGAUAACCUAGUCUUAGUGGGUAUUUGUCCCACAUUGUUUGGAAGCAUUCAAAUUCAUCAAAGAUAUCCAAUUACCAACAUUAAUUGUAAUCACUCUCACUUCUAAGUUGUUACUAUGCCGAAAAACUAGUGUUAUACUAAACACUGACUUAGGCAUUAGAGUGACUUAGAUCGCAGUUGGGUGUAUCUUGUAGCAUGUAUAGUGAUUUAGUAUCUGCUUUGUAAAUUGUAAUGGAAUAGAGAAUUACGAUAGAAACAAACAUAUACAACUUCACUUCAUGAAUUCGACCUAAUGUAUUACUUGAACUAUAAAUUAGUUUGUCACGAAACUAAUAACGGCGGUCUAAGAUUUAUUGAAUACCAUUUUUCAAACAACCAAACCAAAUAAUUUACCAAUCAUGACGCAUUCAUCCGUAUCACCCUUGUGAAUGCACAAACCCGCACAAAUAUUACCUAAACUAUAAGUUAAACUGUCCCACCAAACUAAUAACGGUCAUAAACAAACAGUUUACCAUUAACAGCUCAAUAAUUUGUAUUACCCGCGUAAAGACGCGAACUCGUGACACUACGUAUUACUUAAACUACAAGUAUUAUUUCAAAUUCUUCAUCGAGUAGUAUAUCACAAUGUCAACAAAGUAAGAAGGAGAAAAUGCAUACCCAACAAGGCCCAAAUUCCCCCAAAUUUCUCUUCAUCGAUUUGUUAUAGCUAACCCAACCCGGAAGUAUUUUCCUAAACCAAUACAGAAAACACUACCGUCACCGGAGCCUGAAAUGGCCCGUUCAAAAACUGGGACCAAUCAAAAUGCGCCACGUGUCACAAAAAAAAAGCAAAUUCUACUUGUAAAUACAACUCUCACCUCCCACAGGCCCCAACUACAUAAAGCUCUCCCUUUCUCUCUCCUAGGGCACCAAAUCUCAACCUGGAUUUCACUCUCCUCCGCAACCAUGGCCGACGAUCCUUCCGCUCCGACGACCCAAGACCCGAGUCCCCAACCCGAUAACCCGAUUCCCCAAUCCCAGCAACCCGAUCCCCCACCCGCUUCCACCCCAUUCCAAUUGAACAAUCCCAAUCCCAAUCCGCCUCUAGUCUCUCUCCCGC
Molecule: long non-coding RNA, 3573 nt
Filed under: Fragaria vesca (wild strawberry)
Lineage: Eukaryota; Viridiplantae; Streptophyta; Magnoliopsida; Rosales; Rosaceae
Description: long non-coding RNA (FVES_LNC002092)
Source: RNAcentral